GAGGCAUUGUUCGUCCGACUGGAGGCAGAAUCGACGCCCCGUGACCUUUAGCACACCUACCUGCUGCUCCAUCAUCUGGGAGGGUCUGUGCCGUGUGUUCCGAAGGGUGAUGAAGACUGUGCCCCUGAGAUCCUUCCCAGACCAGAAUGGGACACCCCAACCACCAGCUCAGUCAUCAACCCUCAGUGCAAAUGGUGCUACACUCUGGGGUGUGAUUUUGCCAAGGAAGGCUCUGACUCAUCUCCACCCAAACUUUCAGGUUUCCUGAAGGCUUGGUUCCCCAGACGUUGGCGCCCCACCCAGAUCUUCUUUGAUACGCCAGUUUUUAGGAAACUACCUGCUGAAGAGAACCUGAGGCAGAGGUGAAGAUUUGCCCAGCUCACCCCGUUUUAUUUCUGACACAGCGAUGGGAUAACCUCAGAAGCCAGGGAGGUGAUUUCACUGAGAGGUUUAUUGGGCACAGAGAAUUUAUUUGGUUUCUGCUCUAUUUUUAUGAUCUUUUUUGUUAUUAAAG
Puma concolor (puma) is the source of this 514-nucleotide long non-coding RNA. RefSeq lists it as uncharacterized. NCBI's taxonomy places the organism in Eukaryota, Metazoa, Chordata, Mammalia, Carnivora, Felidae. The record is from RefSeq and is a predicted model, not a curated record.